This is a small nuclear RNA of Onychomys torridus (southern grasshopper mouse), 103 nucleotides long. Lineage: Eukaryota; Metazoa; Chordata; Mammalia; Rodentia; Cricetidae. The record is from RefSeq and is a predicted model, not a curated record.
GCUCGCUUCAGUGGCUCAUACUAAAAUUGGAAUGAUACAAAGAGGAGUAGCAUGGUCCCUGUGCAAGGAUGACUCGCAAAUUUGUGAGGCAUUCCAUAUUUUU